GGGUCCAACUGCAGCUUGCAGCAGUCGCUCACGCCAGGCCCCCUGCUCACGCCGCGCCCGCUCACGCCGCGCCCCCGCUGGCACGCAACUUCCGACUUUCAGACAUGUACAGUUUGUUUACAAGACGCAGAUGGACCAUAUUGCCAUAUUGAGUCAUGGCGGCAACAACUCCCGGGAAGCACCUGUGACUUAGCUCAUCACAUUGCACUGGGCCAGUGGACAACUAAAUUUGGCAAAGACAUUGAGGGUUUCCCUCAUCAAACUACUGUAAAUUCUUGUGGCAUCUUAAUGUUGAUGUAUGCACUCAGCCUGAGCACAGAGGCUCCAUUUUGGUUCAUUGAGAGGGACAUGGCACGCAUCCGAAAAUGGUGGUGCAUUAGUCUAAUGUAACGGUUCCAGAUUGACGGCCAUGGACAGAGGUUUGCAUACUGGACUAAUGAGGCCAGAGCAUUGCUCCAAGGUUCACUGCAGCCGAUAUACAGGGUCCCAAAGGUCAGCAAGAGGGAACAUGAGGUUUCGAUUAGAAAAGGAUGACAGGUGCAUCAUAUUGGAGUUACCAACGUGUGUGCUUUCUGAAAUCCUAAAUGAAGUGGUACUACAGGAAGGAGAUAAGGCAUACUUAAGAUUGGCUCUUGUGUGUACCACCUUCAGGGACACUGUGUCCACUGACUCCUUCAGGAGACGGGCACAUUUUCAGUGGCUUGACAGUGUCGCUACAUGGAGCAGGUUUUCUGAGUCCUAAAGAAAAGAAUUCUACACCAUGUACACCGUGGACACCUGUCGUGAAUGUGGAAUGCGUUUUAAAAACUGCACACCUGGAUAUGUUGGAACAGGAAAAAGGGGUGUACUUGAAGCAGUUUACUCAGAAGACCCACAUCCAGAGAAAACGGACACGUAUACUACCUGUUGGCAGACAACCCUGAGCCUGCUGGGUGUUUUUCAAGCUGCAGGCCCCCGUGACAAUUUGUGGCUGGAAACUUGGGAUUGAAUUUUGAAUUCUCCAGUGUUAUUACAGACUGUUAAUUAAUUGUUUAUGACAAAAAAGAGAUGUCAUAUGUUUAAACAACUUUUGGGUGAACUUUUUGUAUAAUUUUAAAAAUGUUAAAACUAACAUCUAUUGAGAGUCUACUUUAUGCUUUUUUGGUUUUAAUAACGUCCUGUUCAAUGUGUAAUAAA
Esox lucius (northern pike) is the source of this 1176-nucleotide long non-coding RNA. RefSeq lists it as uncharacterized. The transcript is spliced from 11 exons. NCBI's taxonomy places the organism in Eukaryota, Metazoa, Chordata, Actinopteri, Esociformes, Esocidae. The record is from RefSeq and is a predicted model, not a curated record.